This 544-nucleotide ribosomal RNA is filed under the name Phoma sp. Sigrf24. RNAcentral describes it as "eukaryotic LSU rRNA". The stretch from base 175 to 328 matches the Rfam family "5.8S ribosomal RNA". The record is from RNAcentral. Lineage: Eukaryota; Fungi; Ascomycota; Dothideomycetes; Pleosporales; Didymellaceae.
CCUUUCCGUAGGGGGUGCCUGCGGAAGGAUCAUUACCUAGAGUUUGUGGGCUUUGCCCACUGUCUCUUACCCAUGUCUUUUGAGUACUUACGUUUCCUCGGUGGGCUCGCCCGCCGGUUGGACAAUUUAAACCAUUUGCAGUUGCAAUCAGCGUCUGAAAAACAUAAUAGUUACAACUUUCAACAACGGAUCUCUUGGUUCUGGCAUCGAUGAAGAACGCAGCGAAAUGCGAUAAGUAGUGUGAAUUGCAGAAUUCAGUGAAUCAUCGAAUCUUUGAACGCACAUUGCGCCCCUUGGUAUUCCAUGGGGCAUGCCUGUUCGAGCGUCAUUUGUACCUUCAAGCUCUGCUUGGUGUUGGGUGUUUGUCUCGCCUCGCGCGUAGACUCGCCUUAAAACAAUUGGCAGCCGGCGUAUUGAUUUCGGAGCGCAGUACAUCUCGCGCUUUGCACUCAUAACGACGACGUCCAAAAGUACUUUUUACACUCUUGACCUCGGAUCAGGUAGGGAUACCCGCUGAACUUAAGCAUAUCAAAGCCCGGAGGAA